This 199-nucleotide unclassified non-coding RNA is filed under the name Glomeraceae sp. RNAcentral's name for it is "partial contains 5.8S ribosomal RNA and internal transcribed spacer 2". The stretch from base 1 to 72 matches the Rfam family "5.8S ribosomal RNA", at positions 84 to 154 of the family's 154-position model. Lineage: Eukaryota; Fungi; Glomeromycota; Glomeromycetes; Glomerales; Glomeraceae. The record is from RNAcentral.
GUGAAUCAUCGAAUCUUUGAACGCAAAUUGCACUCUCCGGUUUUCCGGGAGAGUAUGCCUGUUUGAGGGUCAGCCUAAAAAAAAUCGACAUUGUUGCUGUUAUUUAAUGGUGACUUUCGUCGGAGAUUGGGUUAUCUUAAACCCUUUUUUUUUUUUUUUUUUACGACUCUAAAUUUUUGUUUUCACUAUCACUUACGCU